UCAGCAAUACAGUCUUCCAUCAGACCCUUUUUCCAUGUUUGAUUAUUGAUACUAUAGGCUCCAUCCACAGGCAAGUUGACACCACUCACAUAUUUGGCCUCAUCGCUAGCUAGAAACAGGGCAGCCUGCGCAAUAUCUUCUGCUUCGAGUAUGGCCUCUUUCAACACUCCAUUUCUCAAAAUCAUCUCUUCUACCUUUCUCUUAUCCGAUGUCUUUAACGUUUUAAACAUCAUAGGAGUCGCAAUGCCGUGAGGCGAGAUGCAAUUGACUCGUAUCCCAUACUCCCCUAACUCUCCGCUCAAGCUCUUAGCCAAUCCCACCACAGCAUGCUUUGAUGUGAUGUAGGCAUGAGGAACGCCGACGUAAAGCAAUGAAGCGACGCU
RNAcentral lists this long non-coding RNA (383 nucleotides) under Gossypium barbadense (sea-island cotton). Its description in RNAcentral is "long non-coding RNA (GBAR_LNC000964)". Lineage: Eukaryota; Viridiplantae; Streptophyta; Magnoliopsida; Malvales; Malvaceae. The record is from RNAcentral.